Non-coding RNA from Octodon degus (degu), 74 nucleotides. The record is from the annotation of a RefSeq genome assembly. NCBI's taxonomy places the organism in Eukaryota, Metazoa, Chordata, Mammalia, Rodentia, Octodontidae.
GUCUCUGUGGUGCAAUCAGUUAGUACAUUUGCCUCUUGACCAAAAGGUUGGUGGUUCGAGCCCACCCAGGGACG